Molecule: transfer RNA, 69 nt
Filed under: Pteragogus cryptus (cryptic wrasse)
Lineage: Eukaryota; Metazoa; Chordata; Actinopteri; Labriformes; Labridae
Also listed under: 1 other name
Description: tRNA-Tyr
Rfam family: tRNA
About the family: Transfer RNA (tRNA) molecules are approximately 80 nucleotides in length. Their secondary structure includes four short double-helical elements and three loops (D, anti-codon, and T loops).
Source: RNAcentral
GGUAGGAUGGCUGAAGCUAAGCGAUGGGUUGUAACUCCAGAUAUAGAGGUUAGAGUCCUCUUCUUAUCA